Molecule: ribosomal RNA, 604 nt
Filed under: uncultured bacterium
Lineage: Bacteria
Description: bacterial SSU rRNA
Rfam family: Bacterial small subunit ribosomal RNA (bases 1-518)
Source: RNAcentral
CCUACGGGAGGCAGCAGUGGGGAAUAUUGCACAAUGGGCGGAAGCCUGAUGCAGCAACGCCGCGUGCGGGAUGACGGCCUUCGGGUUGUAAACCGCUUUCGCCUGUGACGAAGCGUGAGUGACGGUAAUGGGUAAAGAAGCACCGGCUAACUACGUGCCAGCAGCCGCGGUGAUACGUAGGGUGCGAGCGUUGUCCGGAUUUAUUGGGCGUAAAGGGCUCGUAGGUGGUUGAUCGCGUCGGAAGUGUAAUCUUGGGGCUUAACCCUGAGCGUGCUUUCGAUACGGGUUGACUUGAGGAAGGUAGGGGAGAAUGGAAUUCCUGGUGGAGCGGUGGAAUGCACAGAUAUCAGGAGGAACACCAGUGGCGAAGGCGGUUCUCUGGGCCUUUCCUGACGCUGAGGAGCGAAAGCGUGGGGAGCGAACAGGCUUAGAUACCCUGGUAGUCCACGCUGUAAACGGUGGGUACUAGGUGUGGGGUCCAUCUACGGUCGUCGCGUAGCUACGCUUACGUACCCGUCCGUCGGGUAGGUACGGCCGCGACGGACGUAAACCUACAAGAAGUAGACGGCGUGAGACGUGCCGACGGCGACGACGAGGGAGUAGG